AGUGAACGCUGGCGGUAGGCUUAACACAUGCAAGUCGAACGGCAGCACAGUAAGAGCUUGCUCUUACGGGUGGCGAGUGGCGGACGGGUGAGGAAUACAUCGAAAUCUACUUUUUCGUGGGGGAUAACGUAGGGAAACUUACGCUAAUACCGCAUACGACCUACGGGUGAAAGCAGGGGAUCUUCGGACCUUGCGCGAUUGAAUGAGCCGAUGUCGGAUUAGCUAGUUGGCGGGGUAAAGGCCCACCAAGGCGACGAUCCGUAGCUGGUCUGAGAGGAUGAUCAGCCACACUGGAACUGAGACACGGUCCAGACUCCUACGGGAGGCAGCAGUGGGGAAUAUUGGACAAUGGGCGCAAGCCUGAUCCAGCCAUACCGCGUGGGUGAAGAAGGCCUUCGGGUUGUAAAGCCCUUUUGUUGGGAAAGAAAGGCAGCAGGUUAAUACCCCGCUGUUCUGACGGUACCCAAAGAAUAAGCACCGGCUAACUUCGUG
RNAcentral lists this ribosomal RNA (492 nucleotides) under uncultured bacterium. RNAcentral's name for it is "partial 16S ribosomal RNA". It matches the Rfam family "Bacterial small subunit ribosomal RNA", at positions 29 to 507 of the family's 1533-position model. The record is from RNAcentral.